RNAcentral lists this transfer RNA (63 nucleotides) under Heteropsilopus ingenuus. RNAcentral's name for it is "tRNA-Arg". Lineage: Eukaryota; Metazoa; Arthropoda; Insecta; Diptera; Dolichopodidae. The record is from RNAcentral.
GAAUAUGAAGCGAUUUAUUGCAAUUAGUUUCGACCUAAUUUUAGAUGACUUCAUCCUUAUUCU